AGCAGUGUGGCCUAGUGGAUAGGGCAUGGGCCUGGGAGUCAGAAGGACCUAGGUUCUAAUCUUGGCUCUGCCA
This 73-nucleotide transfer RNA is filed under the name Ornithorhynchus anatinus (platypus). It matches the Rfam family "tRNA". From Rfam's summary of the family: Transfer RNA (tRNA) molecules are approximately 80 nucleotides in length. Their secondary structure includes four short double-helical elements and three loops (D, anti-codon, and T loops). Lineage: Eukaryota; Metazoa; Chordata; Mammalia; Monotremata; Ornithorhynchidae. The record is from Rfam by way of RNAcentral.